Molecule: ribosomal RNA, 252 nt
Filed under: uncultured microorganism
Description: partial 16S ribosomal RNA
Rfam family: Bacterial small subunit ribosomal RNA
Source: RNAcentral
UACGUAGGUCCCGAGCGUUGUCCGGAUUUAUUGGGCGUAAAGCGAGCGCAGGUGGUUUAUUAAGUCUGGUGUAAAAGGCAGUGGCUCAACCAUUGUAUGCAUUGGAAACUGUUAGACUUGAGUGCAGUAGAGGAGAGUGGAAUUCCAUGUGUAGCAGUGAAAUGCGUAGAUAUAUGGAGGAACACCGGUGGCGAAAGCGGCUCUCUGGACUGUAACUGACACUGAGGCUCGAAAGCGUGGGUAGCAAACAGG